This 754-nucleotide ribosomal RNA is filed under the name euryarchaeote enrichment culture clone B1-A-16. RNAcentral describes it as "bacterial SSU rRNA". It matches the Rfam family "Archaeal small subunit ribosomal RNA", at positions 102 to 859 of the family's 1478-position model. The record is from RNAcentral. Lineage: Archaea; Methanobacteriati; Methanobacteriota.
CGGUAACCUGCCCUAUGGUCGAGCAUAACCUCGGGAAACUGAGGGUAAUUCUCGAUAGAAGAUUCUUCCUGGAAUGGUGUUUCUUCCAAACACGUGCCAUAGGAUGGGCCGGCGGCUGAUUAGGCUGUUGGUGGGGUAACGGCCCACCAAACCUAUGAUCAGUACGGGCCUUGAGAGAGGUAGCCCGGAGAGGGACACUGAGAUACGGGUCCCAGCCCCACGGGGUGCAGCAGGCGCGAAACCCUUACAAUGCACGAAAGUGUGAUAGGGGGAUACUCAGUGCUUACGGUUAUGCUGUAGGCCUUUGUCGAUCGUAAAUAGAUCGGCGAAUAAGUGGUGGGUAAGACUGGUGCCAGCCGCCGCGGUAACCCCAGCGCCACAAGUGGUCAUCGCGAUUAUUGGGCCUAAAGCGUUCGUAGCCGGUUUGGUGCAUCUCUUGUGAAAUUGUUCGGCUUAACCGAACAGCGUGCAGGAGACACGGCCAGACUCGAGACCGGGAGGCGUAUGAAGUAUUCCAUGGGGACUGGUAAAAUGGGAUAAUCCAUGGAAGACUACCGAUGGCGAAGGCAUCAUACGAGAACGGAUCUGACGGUGAGGAACGAAAGCUAGGGGAGCGAACCGGAUUAGAUACCCGAGUAGUCCUAGCCGUAAACGCUGCGAGCAAGGUGUCGCGCAUCUCACGAAGAUGCGCGGUGUCGAAACGAAGGUGAUAAGCUCGCCGCCUGAGAAGUACGGUCGCAAGACUGAAACUUUA